GUCCUCGUGGAAGGUUCGUGUGCUAGUUAGAUGGGCGCCAGGGGUCGCCGGCGGGAAGCAUGGAGGGGUCUUUGGGGGCCUUUGGGAACAUGGAGUCCUAUUCUGUUCCGCCUGGGGCCUCGGUGGCGGCUUGCAUGCCCCGAGAUGACGGCCGCUGCCCUAGGCAGGGCCGGCGGGCGAUUGCGCGUGUCCUGCUCCUCUUAGGCCCGGGACCGCGGGAUGGGUGUCGGCGUGACCAGGUCUGAGCUCCCUGUCUCUCCUCAGUGACAUCGUCUUUAAACCCUGCGUGGCAAUCCCUGACGCACCGCCGUGAUGCCCAGGGAAGACAGGGCGACCUGGAAGUCCAACUACUUCCUUAAGAUCAUCGUAAGUGCAGGCAACUAUUGGAUGAUUAUCCGAAAUGUUU
RNAcentral lists this small RNA (406 nucleotides) under Pan troglodytes (chimpanzee). Its description in RNAcentral is "processed transcript". Lineage: Eukaryota; Metazoa; Chordata; Mammalia; Primates; Hominidae. The record is from RNAcentral.